GAUGAACGCUGGCGGCGUGCUUAACACAUGCAAGUAGAACGGAAAGGCCGCAGCUUGCUGGGGUGCUCGAGUGGCGAACGGGUGAGUAACACGUAGGUGAUCUGCCUUUCACUUCGGGAUAAGCUUGGGAAACUGGGUCUAAUACCGGAUAUUCACGGCACCGUGGUUGGAGUGGUGGAAAGGUUUUGCGGUUGGAGUUGAGCUUGCGGCCUGUCCGCUUGUUGGUGGGGUAAUGGCCAACGAAGGCGGCGGUGGGCAGCCGGCCUGCGAGGGUGAGCGGGCACAGUGGGACUGAGAUACGGCCCAGACUCCUACGGGGGGCAGCGGUGGGGGAUUGUGCGCAAUGGGCGGAAGCCGUAUGCAGCGACGCCGGGUGGGGGAUGAAGGCCUUCGGGUUGUAACCUCCGUGCGUCUGGGACGAAGAUUGUGUGACGGUACCUGGAUAAGAAGCACCGGCUAACUACGUG
This 467-nucleotide ribosomal RNA is filed under the name uncultured bacterium. RNAcentral's name for it is "partial 16S ribosomal RNA". It matches the Rfam family "Bacterial small subunit ribosomal RNA", at positions 28 to 507 of the family's 1533-position model. The record is from RNAcentral.